CCAUCGGGCAGGGCCUGAGCCCACGGUGAGCCAGAAGAGGAUGGGGGGAAGAUCCCCAGGCCUCUGUGACUCGCCUCAGUUCCCCAGGACACUGUGGCGCCAUGGAGGUCUGUCCCCUCCCUCCUCCUCACAGCAGAGACCCGGGGGCAUGAGGCAGCGUCUGCUCCAGAGUGGGCCCGAUGGGCCUGUGGGCCGGGUGAAACCAUGUGCACAGAAAGCUUGCAGCAGACAAGAAACAUAGAAAAUGUCUUUUAUUCUCCACUGCUUUUCACACUCGAUGUCAGCUUUCAGCUGGCGGGAUCUGGAGUGAGCGUGUGAGAUGUUUCCCAGCGUGAGGGGAGCAGGUGCUGCGGUGAGCUCCCCAGGGCUGGGGUCGGAAUCCAAAGGCGCAGGGCGGCCUCCCCUCCACGCCGUCCUCCCCUCCACACAGGGCUCCCCU
Molecule: long non-coding RNA, 439 nt
Filed under: Homo sapiens (human)
Lineage: Eukaryota; Metazoa; Chordata; Mammalia; Primates; Hominidae
Description: HSALNT0253835
Source: RNAcentral